GAACACAAAAUGGCGACACGUGGUUAGCAUUCGUCGCCAACGAGAAAUUGGGGUCGGCCCGAAAGCUCUAGAAUGCACCCCUAUUCCUCCCCGGGGCCAUUCCCGCUCAACGAGUUUUAUGACCUAAAAAACCCCACAGGCUGGUCUGAAGGUCGGAGGCCUAAUUUUAACGCGUUUUCCUCCCUUUAAUUUGAAACGGGAACGCGAAUAACUAAAAUGUGGGCACAAUAUUUAACCUCUUGCUUUUUUAAAGCUUAAUAAUGGAUAGUAGGGGGCAGUAUCAAGGGAUAAUUUGGGUCCCCACAGUACCAAAGCAUUUAGAAACCUCUGCUUAAUUUAAGGAAUGAGAUAAAUUACUGCUUUUCUAGAUUUGGUAGCAUGGGCUGUUGUGCUGGAGAGAACGAGAGCUACGAAGAGACUAGAAUGCCUCUGACUUUUUCAUAGGACAGUUGGCCGAGGAAGACACUUAAAGAUGAAGUGCUUAAUUCAAGGUCACAGAAUGUCGGGGAUGGACCUCCAGAUUUCCUUACUGGUGAGACGUGGUCUUGUAACACAGUGGUUAAGAAUGUGACUUUGGAGCCAGCCUGCUAGGGGCUGAAUUCUGACUCAGCCAUUUAUUAACUGUGUGACCUUAGAUGGAGUCUCACUCUGUAGCCCAAGCUGGAGUGGCGUGAUCUCGACUCACUGCAACCUCCGCCUCCUGGGCUCAAGUGAUUCUCGUGCCUCAGCCUCCUGAGUAGCUGGGACUACA
This 751-nucleotide non-coding RNA is filed under the name Pongo abelii (Sumatran orangutan). The record is from RNAcentral. Lineage: Eukaryota; Metazoa; Chordata; Mammalia; Primates; Hominidae.